UACAGAGGGUGCAAGCGUUGUUCGGAAUUAUUGGGCGUAAAGCGCGUGUAGGCGGCCUUGCAAGUUGGGUGUGAAAGCCCUCGGCUUAACCGAGGAAGUGCGCCCAAAACUACAGGGCUUGAGUACCGGAGAGGAUGGUGGAAUUCCCGGUGUAGAGGUGAAAUUCGUAGAUAUCGGGAGGAACACCAGCGGCGAAGGCGACCAUCUGGACGGAUACUGACGCUGAGACGCGAAAGCGUGGGGAGCAAACAGG
RNAcentral lists this ribosomal RNA (253 nucleotides) under uncultured Anaeromyxobacter sp. RNAcentral's name for it is "partial 16S ribosomal RNA". It matches the Rfam family "Bacterial small subunit ribosomal RNA", at positions 524 to 776 of the family's 1533-position model. Lineage: Bacteria; Pseudomonadati; Myxococcota; Myxococcia; Myxococcales; Anaeromyxobacteraceae. The record is from RNAcentral.